GGAAGCGGCGCAGGCGCGGCGGCCGGCCGGCCUGGUCGCGGGGUUGCCGGGUUCCUACCGUCCGCCGGGCCUCAGCCCGUUUGUGGCUCACUGCCGCUCCGGCAGCUAAAUUCCCGGAGGGCCCGGGUCUCCCAGGGGGUCCCGGAGCCGCGGCCGCCCAGAGCGGGUCACGUCAUACCGGAAGUGCCUCGGAAAGACAGGCUUGAGGUUGGAAGAAGCCUCGCCGGUGGUGGUUUUCUUUGGCACCAGCGCGGCCCCCAGGAGUCCCCGCUUCCCAAGAUGCCGCCCCGAAGAGAGGGGCCCCGGAGGCCUGAGGGGGCAAAGUAGCAGGGCCUGCUCCGCCCCCCUGCAGACCAGCCUGACCCUGAGGCAGCGCCCGAGCUCAGGCUGGGGCACCCAGCCGCCCUUCCGGCUCCUGGCGCUCUGGCUUCCGCACAGCUGUGUGACGGAAACACGGUCCACGAGGGCAAGGAGUUUUUGUCUGAUUUGUCUGCAGACGCAGCUUUGGUCCCGGGCGGGGCAGGAUUUACUGAACUGAAUAAAAUUAAGCAAUGCAAACAAA
This is a long non-coding RNA of Suricata suricatta (meerkat), 562 nucleotides long. RefSeq lists it as uncharacterized. The transcript has 3 exons. The record is from RefSeq and is a predicted model, not a curated record. Lineage: Eukaryota; Metazoa; Chordata; Mammalia; Carnivora; Herpestidae.